AAAGGAAUAGACGGGGACCCGCACAAGCAGUGGAGUAUGUGGUUUAAUUCGAAGCAACGCGAAGAACCUUACCAGGUCUUGACAUCCCUCUGACCGCUCUAGAGAUAGGGCUUUCCUUCGGGACAGAGGAGACAGGUGGUGCAUGGUUGUCGUCAGCUCGUGUCGUGAGAUGUUGGGUUAAGUCCCGCAACGAGCGCAACCCUUGUCCUUAGUUGCCAGCGAGUCAAGUCGGGCACUCUAAGGAGACUGCCGGUGACAAACCGGAGGAAGGCGGGGAUGACGUCAAAUCAUCAUGCCCCUUAUGACCUGGGCUACACACGUACUACAAUGGCCGGUACAACGGGCAGCGAGAGGGCGACCUUGAGCGAAUCUCAUAAAACCGGUCUCAGUUCGGAUUGCAGGCUGCAACUCGCCUGCAUGAAGUCGGAAUUGCUAGUAAUCGCGGAUCAGCAUGCCGCGGUGAAUACGUUCCCGGGUCUUGUACACACCGCCCGU
RNAcentral lists this ribosomal RNA (495 nucleotides) under uncultured bacterium. RNAcentral's name for it is "bacterial SSU rRNA". It matches the Rfam family "Bacterial small subunit ribosomal RNA", at positions 903 to 1397 of the family's 1533-position model. The record is from RNAcentral.